CGACAACAACAACAACAACAACAACAACUACUACUACUACUACUACAACACCAAGAAUAGCAACAACUACUAAAACAGCAAGAACAACAACGACGACGACGAGAACAAGAACAAGAACAACGACAACGACAACAACAACAACAAGAACAACAACAACAACAACAACAACAACAACAACCACAACAACAACAACAACAACAACAACAACAACAACAAUAACGAUGACGACGACUAUGACGACAACGAAGAAUAAGAACAUCAUCAUAAUCAUCAACAACAACAACAACAAG
Molecule: long non-coding RNA, 290 nt
Filed under: Hordeum vulgare
Lineage: Eukaryota; Viridiplantae; Streptophyta; Magnoliopsida; Poales; Poaceae
Description: long non-coding RNA (HVUL_LNC021320)
Source: RNAcentral